Diabrotica virgifera virgifera (western corn rootworm) is the source of this 1055-nucleotide long non-coding RNA. RefSeq lists it as uncharacterized. NCBI's taxonomy places the organism in Eukaryota, Metazoa, Arthropoda, Insecta, Coleoptera, Chrysomelidae. The transcript is spliced from 3 exons. The record is from RefSeq and is a predicted model, not a curated record.
AAAAGAUGGUGUCGUCACUUCGCUCUGAAUGACACUCUCUCUAUGCUAGUAUAUAACUCUAUGAUCCAAACCACGUGACCUCUGGUUGGCUCACAAGGUGUCACAAACUAACGAAGAGGUUAUGUUUGUAUCAAUGAUUUUUCAUUGUUUAUCGUCGUAUUUUGUCUAUUUUGGAUGCAUUUGGAUUUCGUUUCCUGUUUUUGUGAACUUUAUAAACUUUACCACAAUGCAAACUGAUUAUUUAAGGAAAUUAUUAUUGGAAACUCCAGAUGUUGCGAGAAAGAUAUUUAUUGAAGCUGAAAAUUUGGGGAUUUAGAUCCAUACGCAAUUCAGUCAGAAUUGGAUUUUACAGUAAAGUGCAGACCAUUAAGUUACUAUUAUAGAUAUUUAUACAUAUCUGGUGGAAUCUCGCAGUUGCUACUCUAAGCAGCAGAUGAAAGCAUACAAAAGCCUUCAGGCACAUAAAUAUUUGACAGCUGGAUUUGUUUUGAAUGGAGUAAAAAUUGUUAAUGAUUUCCUGAUUUUCAUAUUAUUGUUGGAAAGGUGAAGCAUUUCCAAAAAUCUAAUGCUAAAUGACUAAAUGCUUGGGUGGGGUGAUAGCCAGUUCUGAUGACAUAGCAAAUGCAGAUUGUAUGUGUAUGGCCGGUAAUAGUGAAGUCUGCAGAAAUCCUAUUUUUAGCUGAGUAUGCCCAGAGCAAGAAAGACAAAGAAGAACCCAAUGCAUGUACAUAUGUUACAGCUACAUGGUUUGGAGAUAGCAACAUAUGCAUUCUCUGAUGAAAAACUAAUGAGUUUUGAAACUGUUCAGUCAGAGUGCUUCUUGUGCUCACUAAACGAACUGAAAUAUAAGAUGGCUUUGGCAUUGUGUUGCAGCGAUAUGAAAAUGGUUAUUCAUUUUUAAUUAUAAUGUACUUCUUCAUCAUGAGUAAUUAUGUAUUGGUCUUUUAAAUGUGUAUUUAUUUUUGUAAUUAGUAUCAACUUGUAAUGAUAAUAUACAUUUAUCGUUUAAGGUAUGACUAUGUUUUGACUCUAAAAUAAAUGAUUUAAAAAUCGAA